GACGAACGCUGGCGGCGUGCCUAACACAUGCAAGUCGAACGAAAGCUCUCUGGUGCUUUGCCUUGACAGAUUGCGCGUCGCACGGGUGAGAAGCACGUAACGAACCCUACUCUUUGGUUGGGACUAAUGUAGGAAACGAUACCCAAUUCCGGAAAACAGUCUUUCUCUGAUGAGAGAGGUUUAUAAGUUCGUUCUGCUAAGACUAUGCGGUUGCUUGGCGUUGGAUUAGCUAGUUGGAGGGGUAAAGGCCCACCAAGGCGACGAUGCGUAGCCGAGCUGAGAGGGUGAUCGGCCACACUGGAACUGAGACACGGCCCAGACUCCUACGGGAGGCAGCAGUAGGGAAUCUUACGCAAUGGGCGGAAGCCUGACGCAGCAACGCCGCGUGGGUGAAGAAGGAUUUCGGUUCGUAAUGCCCUGUUGUUGGGAAAGAAAAGCUGUGGGGUAACACUACGCGUUAGUGACGGUACCUAAAGAAGAAGCAACGGCUAACUACGUG
This 499-nucleotide ribosomal RNA is filed under the name uncultured bacterium. Its description in RNAcentral is "partial 16S ribosomal RNA". It matches the Rfam family "Bacterial small subunit ribosomal RNA", at positions 28 to 507 of the family's 1533-position model. The record is from RNAcentral.